Molecule: ribosomal RNA, 455 nt
Filed under: uncultured bacterium
Lineage: Bacteria
Description: partial 16S ribosomal RNA
Rfam family: Bacterial small subunit ribosomal RNA
Source: RNAcentral
ACGGAAGGCAGCAGUAAGGGAUAUUGGGCAAUGGGGGCGACCCUGACCCAGCCAUGCCGCGUGAGGGAAUGAGGCCCUACGGGUCGUGAACCUCUUUUGCCUGGGGAUAACGGCGUCCACGCGAUGGGCGCGUGCAGGUACCAGGCGAAUAAGCAUCGGCUAACUCCGUGCCAGCAGCCGCGGUAAUACGGAGGAUGCGAGCGUUAUCCGGAUUCAUUGGGUUUAAAGGGUGCGCAGGCGGUCCGUCAAGUCAGCGGUGAAAUCCGGGGGCCCAACCCCCGAAGUGCCGUUGAUACUGUCGGGCUGGAGUGCGGUCGAGGCGGGCGGAAUGUGGCGUGUAGCGGUGAAAUGCAUAGAUAUGCCACAGAACUCCGAUAGCGAAGGCAGCUCGCCAGGCCUGCAUUGACGCUCGGGCACGAAAGCGUGGGGAUCGAACAGGAUUAGAUACCCUGGUA